This 388-nucleotide ribosomal RNA is filed under the name uncultured bacterium. Its description in RNAcentral is "partial 16S ribosomal RNA". It matches the Rfam family "Bacterial small subunit ribosomal RNA", at positions 523 to 918 of the family's 1533-position model. The record is from RNAcentral.
AUACGUAGGUGGCAAGCGUUAUCCGGAUUUAUUGGGCGUAAAGGGUGCGUAGGCGGCUUGUUUAGUCUGGGGUGAAAGCGUCGAGCUUAACUCGAUUAAGCCUUAGAUACUGGCAAGCUAGAGUGUAGAAGAGGGUUAUGGAAUUCCAUGUGUAGCGGUAAAAUGCGUAGAUAUAUGGAGGAACACCAGAGGCGAAGGCGGUAACCUGGUCUAUUACUGACGCUCAGGCACGAAAGCGUGGGGAGCAAAUAGGAUUAGAUACCCUAGUAGUCCACGCCAUAAACGAUGAUUACUAAAUGUUGGGGAAACUCAGUGUUGCAGCUAACGCAAUAAGUAAUCCGCCUGGGGAGUAUGCACGCAAGUGUGAAACUUAAAGGAAUUGGCGGGG